This is a non-coding RNA of Chiloscyllium plagiosum (whitespotted bambooshark), 1176 nucleotides long. Lineage: Eukaryota; Metazoa; Chordata; Chondrichthyes; Orectolobiformes; Hemiscylliidae. The record is from RefSeq and is a predicted model, not a curated record.
CCAGUCCCUACACCCUUCCCUAUCUCUUUCCCUUCCUCCAGCUGCUAUACACCUCCCUUUUUCUGUCAGCCCCAGUCCCUAUACCCCUCCCUAAUAGGUUAACUCCUCCAGUCCCUACAGCCCUCCCUAUCUCCGUAACCUCCUGCAGCCCGUAGACCCCCCUCCUUCUCUUAUAGCUCCUUCAGUCCCUGCAAUCCUCGUGCUCUUUCUGUUCUGGAUUCUUGCUCGUUCCCCAGUUUUCACUGGUGGUGCUGGGGCCCUCGGUGUGGAAUUUCCUCCCUGCCUCUCUUGUUCUCUGCCCUCCAUUAUGCCAUGCUCGAAAACCGACCUCUUUCACCAGCCAUUUAGUCACCAGCCCUGAUCCCUCCAUCUCUGUCUCCUUAUUCAAUUAUUCUCUGUGAAGAACCAUCAAAUAUUUUAUUACAUUCAGGGUACAAGAUAAAUACAAGUUGAUUUUCUGUCCAAGUGCCCAAGUAACUUGGCUUCUUUCUGAUUUGAAGAGUUUUCUGUGUGUUUUUCAUAGAGUUUAGCUCCACGAUAUUCACCUGGGACAUAAUGUCAGUCAGGGACUAGACCACAAACCAUGUCAUAAUCAGUUCUAACUUGGUGGAAGAUGGCCAUCAAUAACACAGGCACCGAGACCAAUGGUAGCUCCCACUCCGAACUGUGGUUCUGGAUUUGGAUAUACAGUGGGUCUAUGUUGGAAUAUCUUCCAUUUAUUAAAUUAGGUACCUCCUUCCAAUUGGCAGCAGUACAGAUUGCUCAGUAAUGUUACGCUCAGCUAAGUAGCUCCUUGAUGAUACUAACCUCACCCUUUCCCUUCUUACAGCCCACAAGAUAUCAUUGUGUUUAUCAUUGGAGGAGCGACCUAUGAGGAGGCACAGACUGUCUACAAUCUGAACCGUACCAGCCCAGGAGUGAGGAUCGUGUUGGGUGGGACAACCAUUCACAACACCAAGAGUUUUCUCGAAGAAGUUGCAGCCUCGGGAAUUCCGAGCCAUGUCUCGGAGAGACCACAUGGAGUGAGCCGUUCAUCAAGGCGAUGAAGGCUUGGUUCUGCCUUUCCUAACUAUCAUAUUUCUAAAAGAUCUGGGCUGUGAUUUGUGCUAGUGACUGCUCCUGCUAUUGUACAUGUUUUGUUUGUCUUGGCUUCAUUAAAUACAAACUGAAAUUCUA